GACGAACGCUGGCGGCGUGCUUAACACAUGCAAGUCGAACGGAAAGGCCUGCUUUCCCUUGUGGAUUGCGGGUACUCGAGUGGCGAACGGGUGAGUAACACGUGAGUGAUCUGCCCCCAACUUGGGUAUAAGCCUGGGAAACUGGGUCUAAUUCCCGAUAGGACUGCAGGGUGGUGCCUGUGGUGGAAAACGAUUUUCUAGUGGUUGGGGAUGAGCUCGCGGCCUAUCAGCUUGUUGGUGGGGUAAUGGCCUACCAAGGCGGCGACGGGUAGCCGGCCUGAGAGGGGGGACGGCCAAAUUGGGACUGAGAUACGGCCCAGACUCCUACGGGAGGCAGCAGUGGGGAAUAUUGCACAAUGGGCGGAAGCCUGAUGCAGCGACGCCGCGUGGGGGAUGACGGCCUUCGGGUUGUAAACUCCUUUCGACCGCGAGGAAGCCACCUGGUUGGAAGGGUGGUGACGGUAGUGGUAGAAGAAGCACCGGCUAACUACGUG
This 494-nucleotide ribosomal RNA is filed under the name uncultured bacterium. Its description in RNAcentral is "partial 16S ribosomal RNA". It matches the Rfam family "Bacterial small subunit ribosomal RNA", at positions 28 to 507 of the family's 1533-position model. The record is from RNAcentral.